This 274-nucleotide ribosomal RNA is filed under the name uncultured bacterium. RNAcentral describes it as "partial 16S ribosomal RNA". It matches the Rfam family "Bacterial small subunit ribosomal RNA", at positions 523 to 796 of the family's 1533-position model. The record is from RNAcentral.
AUACGGAGGGGGCUAGCGUUGUUCGGAAUUACUGGGCGUAAAGCGUACGUAGGCGGACUGAUCAGUUGGGGGUGAAAUCCCAGGGCUUAACCCUGGAACUGCCUUCAAUACUGUCAGUCUUGAGAUUGGAAGAGGUGAGUGGAAUUCCUAGUGUAGAGGUGAAAUUCAUAGAUAUUAGGAGGAACACCAGUGGCGAAGGCGGCUCACUGGUCCAAUACUGACGCUGAGGUACGAAAGCGUGGGUAGCAAACGGGAUUAGAAACCCUAGUAGUCC